CCUACGGGAGGCAGCAGUGGGGGAUAUUGCACAAUGGGGGGAACCCUGAUGCAGCGACGCCGCGUGGGUGAAGGAGCGUUUCGGCGCGUAAAGCCCUAUCGGCAGGGAAGAAGGAGGACGGUACCUGACUAUGAAGCCCCGGCUAACUACGUUCCAGCAGCCGCGGUAAUACGUAGGGGGCAAGCGUUAUCCGGAAAUACUGGGGGGAAAGGGGGCGCCGACGGCAGCGCAAGGCAGGAGUGAAAGCCCUGGGCCCAACCCCGGGACUGCUCUUGGAACUGCGCGGCUGGAGUGAGGGAGGGGCAGGCGGAAUGCCUGGUGUAGCGGUGAAAUGCGUAGAUAUCAGGAGGAACACCGGUGGCGAAGGCGGCCUGCUGGACUGCGACUGACGUUGAGGCCCGAAAGCGUGGGGAGCAAACAGGAUUAGAUACCCUUGUAGUC
Molecule: ribosomal RNA, 441 nt
Filed under: uncultured bacterium
Lineage: Bacteria
Description: partial 16S ribosomal RNA
Rfam family: Bacterial small subunit ribosomal RNA
Source: RNAcentral